GAUUAAGUGUCGUAAGGGCAUUUGGUGGAUGCCUUGGCAUGCACAGGCGAUGAAGGACGUGAUACGCUGCGAAAAGCCGUGGGGAGCUGCGAAUGAGCUUUGAUCCAUGGAUCUCCGAAUGGGGCAACCCACCUUAAAUGCUUGGAAAAUCAUUCUGGUUGUCGGGUCUUCGACCCGACGUUACGGCGAACGAUCGCCGACGGCCUCUGGCCUGUAUGGGAACUUCCCGAUACAGCGCAGAGCGCGUCGCCGGUCGUCCGGCGCGCCCACGCAGCGCUGCACGAAGUGCAGAACAAGCGUGAGUGAAAACCCGAAUGGUUUCCAAGCAUUGUGAUAAGGUAUCUGCACCUGAAUACAUAGGGUGUAAGAAGCGAACGCAGGGAACUGAAACAUCUAAGUACCUGCAGGAAAGGACAUCAACCGAGACUCCGCAAGUAGUGGCGAGCGAACGCGGACCAGGNAUAAGGUAUCUGCACCUGAAUACAUAGGGUGUAAGAAGCGAACGCAGGGAACUGAAACAUCUAAGUACCUGCAGGAAAGGACAUCAACCGAGACUCCGCAAGUAGUGGCGAGCGAACGCGGACCAGGCCAGUGGCAAUUGUGAUUAAAGUGGAACGCUCUGGAAAGUGCGGCCGUAGUGGGUGACAGCCCCGUACGCGUAGAUAUCACGAUUGUCCUAGAGUAGGGCGGGACACGAGAAAUCCUGUCUGAACAUGGGGAGACCACUCUCCAAGCCUAAGUACUCGUGCAUGACCGAUAGCGAACAAGUACCGUGAGGGAAAGGUGAAAAGCACCCCGACAAGGGGAGUGAAAUAGAACCUGAAACCGGAUGCCUACAAACAGUCGGAGCCCGCAAGGGUGACGGCGUACCUUUUGUAUAAUGGGUCAACGACUUAGUGUAACAAGCAAGCUUAAGCCGGUAGGUGUAGGCGCAGCGAAAGCGAGUCUGAACAGGGCGAUAUAGUUUGUUGCAUUAGACCCGAAACCGAGUGAUCUAGCCAUGAGCAGGUUGAAGGUUGGGUAACACCAACUGGAGGACCGAACCCGCAUCUGUUGCAAUAGAUUGGGAUGACUUGUGGCUAGGGGUGAAAGGCCAAUCAAACUCGGAAAUAGCUGGUUCUCCGCGAAAUCUAUUUAGGUAGAGCGUCGAGCGAAUACCCCCGGGGGUAGAGCACUGGAUGGGCUAUGGGGACUCACCGUCUUACUGAUCCUAACCAAACUCCGAAUACCGGGGAGUACUACUCGGCAGACACACGGCGGGUGCUAACGUCCGUCGUGAAAAGGGCAACAACCCUAACCUCCAGCUAAGGUCCCCAAGUCAUGGCUAAGUGGGAAAGGAUGUGAGGAUCCCAAAACAACCAGGAUGUUGGCUUAGAAGCAGCCAUCAUUUAAAGAAAGCGUAACAGCUCACUGGUCUAAAUAAGGGUCUUUGCGCCGAAAAUGUAACGGGGCUGAAGCCAUGCACCGAAGCUGAGGAUUUGCAGCAAUGCAAGUGGUAGCGGAGCGUUCCGUAAGCUGAUGAAGGGAGACCCGUGAGGGCUCCUGGAGGUAUCGGAAGUGCGAAUGUUGACAUGAGUAACGAUAAAGAGGGUGAGAGACCCUCUCGCCGAAAGACCAAGGGUUCCUGCUUAAAGUUAAUCUGAGCAGGGUUAGCCGGCCCCUAAGACGAGGCGGACACGCGUAGUCGAUGGGAACCACGUUAAUAUUCGUGGGCCUGGUGGUAGUGACGGAUUGCACAAGUUGUUCUGGUUUAUUGGAUUAUCAGGGCAGCGGAGCGGUUCCAGGAAAUAGCUCCACCGUAUAGACCGUACCCGAAACCGACACAGGUGGUCAGGUAGAGUAUACCAAGGCGCUUGAGAGAACUAUGUUGAAGGAACUCGGCAAAUUGCACGCGUAACUUCGGAAGAAGCGUGACCCCAUUUUAGGCAACUAUGAUGGGGUGGCACAGACCAGGGGGUAGCGACUGUUUAUCAAAAACACAGGGCUCUGCGAAGUCGCAAGACGACGUAUAGGGUCUGACGCCUGCCCGGUGCUGGAAGGUUAAGAGGAGAGGUGCAAGCUUUGAAUCGAAGCCCCAGUAAACGGCGGCCGUAACUAUAACGGUCCUAAGGUAGCGAAAUUCCUUGUCGGGUAAGUUCCGACCUGCACGAAUGGCGUAACGACUUCCCCGCUGUCUCCAACAUAGACUCAGUGAAAUUGAAUUCCCCGUGAAGAUGCGGGGUUCCUGCGGUCAGACGGAAAGACCCCGUGCACCUUUACUAUAGCUUUACACUGGCAUUCGUGUCGGCAUGUGUAGGAUAGGUGGUAGGCUUUGAAGCGGGGACGCCAGUUUCCGUGGAGCCAUCCUUGAAAUACCACCCUUAUCGUCAUGGAUGUCUAACCGCGGCCCGUCAUCCGGGUCCGGGACAGUGUAUGGUGGGUAGUUUGACUGGGGCGGUCGCCUCCGAAAGAGUAACGGAGGCGCGCGAUGGUGGGCUCAGACCGGUCGGAAAUCGGUCGUCGAGUGCAAUGGCAUAAGCCCGCCUGACUGCGAGACUGACAAGUCGAGCAGAGACGAAAGUCGGUCAUAGUGAUCCGGUGGUCCCGCGUGGAAGGGCCAUCGCUCAACGGAUAAAAGGUACGCCGGGGAUAACAGGCUGAUGACCCCCAAGAGUCCAUAUCGACGGGGUUGUUUGGCACCUCGAUGUCGGCUCAUCGCAUCCUGGGGCUGGAGCAGGUCCCAAGGGUUUGGCUGUUCGCCAAUUAAAGCGGUACGUGAGCUGGGUUCAGAACGUCGUGAGACAGUUCGGUCCCUAUCUGCCGUGGGUGUAGGAAUAUUGACAGGAUCUGUCCCUAGUACGAGAGGACCGGGAUGGACAUAUCUCUGGUGGACCUGUUGUCCUGCCAAGGGCAUAGCAGGGUAGCUAUAUAUGGACGGGAUAACCGCUGAAGGCAUCUAAGCGGGAAACCCACCUGAAAACGAGUGUUCCCUAUCAGAGCCGUGGAAGACGACCACGUUGAUAGGCCGGGUGUGGAAGUGCGGCAACGCAUGAAGCUUACCGGUACUAAUAGCUCGAUCGGCUUGAUCGUUCUCAUU
RNAcentral lists this ribosomal RNA (3076 nucleotides) under Rhizobium lentis. RNAcentral describes it as "23S ribosomal RNA". It matches the Rfam family "Bacterial large subunit ribosomal RNA". Lineage: Bacteria; Pseudomonadati; Pseudomonadota; Alphaproteobacteria; Hyphomicrobiales; Rhizobiaceae. The record is from RNAcentral.